Molecule: long non-coding RNA, 645 nt
Filed under: Selaginella moellendorffii
Lineage: Eukaryota; Viridiplantae; Streptophyta; Lycopodiopsida; Selaginellales; Selaginellaceae
Description: long non-coding RNA (SMOE_LNC001663)
Source: RNAcentral
AGACUUUGACUCAGAGGAAGCCACGAAGAAAGCAAUGAUAGCGUGUGGACCUGGAGAAGUUUAUGCAAUCAGUGCCACGUCGUGACACUUCAUCAGAGUGUUCAAGAAACGCAAGACGUAACACUACAAACGUGCAUUUGUCUAUCCAAUCUUUGAGGAAUACGUGCAUAAAAUCUCGUCAAAUUGCGCGUGAAGGAAGUUGCUUUGCUUGCUCCAUAUGGUCAGGCCUUGUGGCCAAUCAGAUGUUCUCCUGCCUUGUAUAUAAGCGCAAGCCUCCUCGCAUCGAUCAUACCUUUAUCUUGCACAAUCCAAGAUGUGUUUCGGUUUCUCUCAAUCCUCUAACAGGCGAAAGCAGAGGCGAAGGCGCCCGUCUGCAGCAACGGGCGCCUUCGUGAGUGGUGGCGGAGCUUGUGCUGGCACUGGCGGCGGAGGCUGUGGUGGCGGUGGCGGCGGCGGUGGUGGUGGUGGCUGCGGAGGAGGCGGCGGCGGUGGAGGCUGCUAAAUACUCUGUAUGAGAAAUAGCCAUGCAUAUGAAUGUUUGUAAAUAUGCAUAAUCUCAAACUUCCUCAAAUAAUACGUACAAUUUGUUUGUUUUUUUACAGCCAAGGAUUGAGCUGGCCACGAUCUUAGCACUGUUUUGGAACU